UACAGAGGGUGCGAGCGUUAAUCGGAAUUACUGGGCGUAAAGGGCGCGUAGGCGGUCUAUCCAGUGAGAUGUGAAAUCCCCGGGCUUAACCUGGGAACUGCAUCUUAAACUGAUAGGCUGGAGUACUGUAGAGGAUAGUGGAAUUUCCGGUGUAGCGGUGAAAUGCGUAGAGAUCGGAAGGAACAUCAGUGGCGAAGGCGACUGUCUGGACAGAUACUGACGCUGAGGCGCGAAAGCGUGGGGAGCGAACAGG
This 253-nucleotide ribosomal RNA is filed under the name uncultured bacterium. RNAcentral's name for it is "partial 16S ribosomal RNA". It matches the Rfam family "Bacterial small subunit ribosomal RNA", at positions 524 to 776 of the family's 1533-position model. The record is from RNAcentral.